RNAcentral lists this ribosomal RNA (292 nucleotides) under uncultured bacterium. RNAcentral describes it as "partial 16S ribosomal RNA". It matches the Rfam family "Bacterial small subunit ribosomal RNA", at positions 43 to 362 of the family's 1533-position model. The record is from RNAcentral.
UCAGGCCUAACACAUGCAAGUCGAACGAACCCUUCGGGGUUAGUGGCGCACGGGUGCGUAACGCGUGGGAAUCUGCCCUUUGCUUCGGAAUAACAGUUAGAAAUGACUGCUAAUACCGGAUGAUGUCUUCGGACCAAAGAUUUAUCGGCAAGGGAUGAGCCCGCGUAGGAUUAGGUAGUUGGUGGGGUAAAGGCCUACCAAGCCGACGAUCCUUAGCUGGUCUGAGAGGAUGAUCAGCCACACUGGGACUGAGACACGGCCCAGACUCCUACGGGAGGCAGCAGUGGGGAAU